CCGCCGGCGAUGCCGGUGGUGGGCGGAGGCUCGCCGGUCCACCGCCAGCUGACACUAAAACUAAACGGUCGACCCGACCGGACCGCACCGGACUAGACCAGACCGACUCCCAGGUCGAGCCGCACCUCACACCUAGCCUAGCCGCAUUCCGGCGCCGCCGCCGGCGAACUCCGCCUCUCCGGCGCCCUCCUCCCGGCCAAGACGCCGCGCUCGCCACCUCGCUCUCUUCCUCGUCCUCGUCCUCGUCCACGCACACGCCCAUCUCCCCACCGCUUCCUCUAGCUUCUCCUCUUUUUCAGCCGCCGCGUGCUCCAGGCCGACCUCAACCUCCAGCCGUCGACAACGCACACGGUCUCCUCAGGCACGUGCAGGCGAGCUCACGGUAGGGCUGCCGGAGCACCCGGCUACGGUCCCCAUCUCGGAGCUGCUCACUUGAACUCCAUCUGUGUGGCGCCUGCGACGUGUUCGACGGAAUGUUCAAGCCAGCAGAUUGCAGAGCACUGUACUGAGAGGCACAACUUGGUACAGAUGGGUCAGAACUGGAAGCUGCUUCUCAAGAUUUCAGCAAUGUUAACUACCUGGAUGUACAUUGUAUAAAGGAGCCCUCUGCAUGUGGAGCGGAGAUAACUGUUGCGUCUAAAACAUUCCUGUGCAUGGUCUCGUAUAGCUGAAGCACAAUUGAAGAAUAAGGUCUCAUGUGAUGGUUAACUGAAUUGUCCGUCACGCCGAUGAACAGUGAUGCAUGGGAGUAUACUGUCUCUUGAUGCAUAUACCUGACAGGAGAAAACGCCGCAAAGGCUUCAGACAUCAGUUUUGGCGGUGACAGGAAAGACAGCCAAGAUGGACUCAUUGAGCCUGACGAGUGUGUACAAGUGUGCCUUUCUUCUGCUUCUUCUUGCUGAAUUGCUUCCUGGCCACGAUAGCUACCCCCUUGCCUUCCUAGCUCACCUGGACAGGUGCACCAGCGGCAACGCCAUCCACUGGCAAGCUCGAUACUUAGGACGGGGAGCUUGAUUCGUCCAUUGAUUCGGGAGUGUUCAGCGUGCUGCUGCUUGCCCUGUUUGCUAAGUGCUGCUGUUGCUUCCCUUGCCGCUCCUGUAGCUCCCAACAAAGGCCAAACUGCGAGCCAAGAGAGAAAGGGCAAGAGCAGUUCUUCAACAGUGUAUGCGUUAAUGGGAUCAGGAGCUGCAAUAUUUCCUUGCAACCGCCGCAUGAAUGCUAGUAUUGUUGUGCCCGUGUCUUCAAGUAGGCAAUUGCAGAGCAUUGUCCUGAGAGCAGUGUGUCUUUCCUUCAACCAAUGAAAUAAAAAAUUGAGUCAACUUCUAACUUGGGUUGUGGAGGCAUAACUUGGUACUGAUGGUCAGAACUGGAAGCAACUUCUGAAGAUUCUAACAUGGGUUGUGGAGAUAAGAUCGGCACUGUCAUGUUUGGAGACGGCGGUCAGAGUAGUAAUGAGAAUAAUGCAGAUGUGUGCAGCUUGGAGGGCCGCAUUGUUUGGCGUCAACGAGACCUUCGCCGUGGCAGAUAUGGCUGCAGCCAACUUCAGAAAUUCACUUGACCAAGAAAGUUGCCACUGAACAUGUGCAGAGAAUGGUCGCCUGAACAAGUUACUGCCAUCACCGUACUCCAAGUCAAACAACCAAAAAGGCCAUGGUUUCAUCUCUAUUAGUGCUCCAAUAACAUCCUGCAGUUGCCCAAACUUAAGAUAAGUGGCCCAAGAACUGUUCUGGAACUGUAGUUGCUUGAGACAAAUAUCCAUGACAUCAUGAGUGUAGAGAGCCGCAGCAAAAUCAACACCAGCGAGAUGCUUGUGACCAUCAAUUAAUUUUUGUCCAUUACACGGCAAGUCCCAGAACUCAUAACUUGAAACCAACUGAAGUAGUAUCCUCCUAUGCCACAACUCAAUCUUGCUAGCCCCUGGAUCCCAAGGCAGUAAAAGGUAUGUGUUACCUGUAGGAAACUGAAAAAUUGGCCAGGGCAUUGCUUCAUCGCACUUGACCACGAGAAUCAAUGAACGUAACACCACUGCAGUCAGUUAGACUGUAAAUCAGGGAAGGAUCAUAAAAUAAGAUAGAAGGCCUGUUGAAGAUGCACGAAACUGCCUGCAGAGAGAUGUUGCCGCCAUUCUGAAAGGUAGCCACAGUGACUAGGCCAGUGGCAAGCAGACUGGUAAUAGCUGAGAUAGCUUUCAGCUUCAUAUGCCGAGGUAUAGUGACAAUAAGAUGGUCGACACUCUCCGCAUUGACGAUGAUGGACUGGUCGGUGUCGGAGUUGUUGCUCUCCGUCGAAGCUUCUGCGCCACCGGAUGACCACAUCGAACAUGGGGCUGUUGACACCUAAGUGAGCUCCAUGUUACUCACGGAAACCGCAACAGGUGCAGGAGCCAUCUGGAGCGAGUCCUCCAUGGAAGAGGGUGCCUCUAUGAUCUGCUGGGCACAAUAGCCGGAGUUAAGAUCAGUCGUCUAUCCUUUGGCUAGCAGCUCUGCGGUGAAGAUGAUGUCCUCGCAUGGAUCCGUCUUAGUAUUGACGGCCUCAGGGGCGACCUCGAUGUGGGGAACACCCUUGCACAUCACACAAGCAGUCGGGCCGGUGGUAGAUGCAACUUCGUUGAUGUCGCCAUGGACCCCAACUCGUAUGGCAAAGCAAACUUGACGUCGAGGUAGCAGCACUCCUCAAAGAGAUACUUGCCAUGCAGGGACACUGGAGGCCGAGCCGCCUCAUCCCUUGAUCUCAACUGGACAAUGGCCUUCAAGUAGUGAGAACCCUUGCGAGUGGUGGCUCUCGGAUUCACAACGAGCCAUUGCACCAUAUGGAGCAAGUAUUAGGCGUAGCAUAUCCCCAGUCAGUGUGUAGAAUGCACCAAACACCAUGAUGCUUAGAGCGGGGCUGCCACAUUCGUUGCGGUUGCAGCUGGAGCGCUGCCCGGUGUAGAGACCAAUAGCACCUCUGUAAGGACGCCUGUGGAUGUCGCCGAGGGUGUGUCCGAAUUGCUUGUGGGCAUGGCGCGCAAUAUCUCCAGCGUGGCGGUCACGGUUGAAAUAGCCGCCGCUGGUUCGUGGAAGUCGCGGGCGUGGACGCCACGCCACUACUCGGGAAACGCGGAGGCGCCGACGAUGAGGUCAUAGAGACCCCGAGCCCCUGGGCUGAGGUCAUCCUUGGUGGCGGCGCACUUCCCGCUGGAUUCGUCGGUGGGGACGACGCUGGUUGAACGCGUUGUUGACGAAGGCGGCGGCACCACUGCGGGGCCCCGCUUGGGGUCGUGGGUGGUGUCAGCAGGUUUUUUUGUGAUCCUAAGAAAUCUGAAGUCUUGAUACAUAUACCUGACGGAAGAAAACGCCGGAAAGGCUAAUGUCGGUGACAGGAAAGACAGCGAAGAUGAACUCAAUGAGCCUGACGUGUGUGUAUAAGUUUGCCUUUCUUCUGCUAGAGACCAUCUCUAGAAGGCGUCCCUUUUCCAGUGACCUGUCAAGGGGAGAAGAGCAGGUUCUGCACUCAGAGCAU
Lolium perenne is the source of this 3501-nucleotide long non-coding RNA. RefSeq lists it as uncharacterized. The record is from RefSeq and is a predicted model, not a curated record. NCBI's taxonomy places the organism in Eukaryota, Viridiplantae, Streptophyta, Magnoliopsida, Poales, Poaceae.